AUAAUCCUACGGGGGGCAGCAGUGGGGAAUAUUGCACAAUGGGGGAAACCCUGAUGCAGCGACGCCGCGUGAGUGAAGAAGUAAUUCGUUACGUAAAGCUCUAUCAGCAGGGAAGAAACACUGACCUUACGGUCAGCAGACGGUACCUGAGUAAGAAGCCCCGGCUAACUACGUGCCAGCAGCCGCGGUAAUACGGAGGAUGCGAGCGUUAUCCGGAUUCAUUGGGUUUAAAGGGUGCGCAGGCGGGCCUUUAAGCCGGCGGUGAAAUCGCGGGGCUCAACCCCCCCGAG
This 290-nucleotide ribosomal RNA is filed under the name uncultured bacterium. RNAcentral's name for it is "partial 16S ribosomal RNA". It matches the Rfam family "Bacterial small subunit ribosomal RNA", at positions 333 to 621 of the family's 1533-position model. The record is from RNAcentral.